Long non-coding RNA from Cephus cinctus (wheat stem sawfly), 1482 nucleotides. RefSeq lists it as uncharacterized. The transcript is spliced from 3 exons. The record is from RefSeq and is a predicted model, not a curated record. Lineage: Eukaryota; Metazoa; Arthropoda; Insecta; Hymenoptera; Cephidae.
UCCCAGCCUAAGGUGCAUUGCAGUAAUCUUAGUCUUGCAACAACAUGAUUGCUCAAAAGAAUUUUAAAAUCAUGCUAACGACCAUCAAGCCUCCUCUAAGUAGUUAAGUACUGAUAUCGAAUGUACUGCAAAGAAGACCGCAAAACUCGACAUUUAACUAGAAAAUUUCUUAUACAGAUUUCAAUCUGAAUGAAUACAACCAAUAACUGACAAGAAUGACUUAACUAUAUAAAUAGCACCCUGAUAAGACGUCUGUGAGGGGUGUGUAUCGCGAGACUGAUAACUCGAAAAAUAUGAAAAUGAAAGCUGCGUUUCGUUCAUCCUUGGAUAUAGGAAGAAAGUGAUACGAGUCAUCGAGAUGUUGCACAAUUGACCGCGUGACCGGAGCCAAGGAAAAGCAUGUGCAUCUAAUGAUUAUUACUACCUGGAGUGGAAAAUUGUUCCCGGAAAGUGGUACCUGCUUAGAAUUAAAUGACAACAGUCUCCUUGCGAAGGUCCGAAUGAAUUUGGGUUAACGAUUCGCCGUACAAUAAUGAUCACGUGGUAACCGGCAAAAAGAUAAGAAGAAAAGAAAAGGAUCGAACGGAAAAAAGAAACCAUAUUCUUGCACAUUCUCGCUCUGGGACCUUCACAACGUUUACAUUUUAAUACUACAGUUUCCUAUAAUAGGUAAUAGUGGAAUUCAGCUGUUCGCAUUUCGACUUUACGUUGUUCGUUUACGCAAUGAUCAUUGAACUGAUCUAGCGUAAGAAAGCCCUAGUCUGAUGACAAUAUCGAUGACUAAAGAUUGCACAAAAUUUCACAGAGGGUGUGCAAUCACGUAGAGUGACCAUUUAAAGAACGGUAUGGCGAGUAAUGGCUCAGAGAAGAGAGAGGGGUGUAGAAUAGCAGUUGUAACGUAGCGAGGGAGGCAGUUCAGGACUGGUGAGCCUAGUCACUAACUUUUUAAGCAACGGGCACAUUCUGUUCCUGUCGUGCGUAAUCGUGGUAGCGCGUGCGUGUCCAGGCCAAAACUUCGCUCGAUUAUUCGAGGAGAAUUAGAAAGGACAUAUGAUACGACAGACUGUUUUUGAGCUAUGAAGGAACCUUGAUUUGUUUUCUCAUCUGGUAAACGGACUCUUUUGAUUUGUCGACUUUUUCGCAUCUUCUUUGAAUAUAUGUGAUAUUUAUUCUAGUAUAUGUAGAAUAUACACUGAGUGUACGUAUACACCGAAGAAUUUGUAUGCAUGAACAUGUUCGUAAGAGGCAAGAACUCGUGAUCCAAACCCGGAACCGGAUUCGCGCAAGAUAUUUUGGAAAAAGAUGAUAGUAUACUCUAGACUCUAAAGUCUCCCUAUUAAGGGGGCAUAUACGAAUAGAGUUAGUGUUUUGAGGGUCAAAUUCUAAAAUCUUUUGACUUCAGUAUUUUUUUGUAAAUUCCCUUAAGAGGACUGCGUACCUCUUAUUAUUAUGCAAGUAAAAUGUAAAUGAAAAUCGUGAAUA